UUAAGUUCAGCGGGUAGUCCUACCUGAUUUGAGAUCGAACGUUAAAAAGCUGUCCUCGCUGAGGAGAGACAUCUGUGAGCUCCAGCGAACCUUUGUCACCAAAGGUUACCUGGUGGACAACCGCGAGCGUAGAUAGUUAUCACACUCGUGAUGCCACCAAACACCGGGAGGCUGAUUCAUUUGAGAGGAGCCGACCACAG
This 200-nucleotide unclassified non-coding RNA is filed under the name uncultured Thelephoraceae. RNAcentral describes it as "sequence contains ITS2". Lineage: Eukaryota; Fungi; Basidiomycota; Agaricomycetes; Thelephorales; Thelephoraceae. The record is from RNAcentral.